RNAcentral lists this ribosomal RNA (120 nucleotides) under Lepisosteus oculatus (spotted gar). Lineage: Eukaryota; Metazoa; Chordata; Actinopteri; Semionotiformes; Lepisosteidae. The record is from RNAcentral.
GUCAGCAGCCAUAUCAACCUGCAACUCACAGCUUGCAACCCACUGAAGCUAAGCAGGUGUGAGCCUGGUCAGUACCUAGAUGGGAGACCUCCUGGAAAAAACAAAAGGUUGCUGCUAGAA